AGUGUUUGAUCAUGGCUCAGAUUGAACGCUGGCGGCAGGCCUAACACAUGCAAGUCGAACGGUAACAGGAAACAGCUUGCUGUUUCGCUGACGAGUGGCGGACGGGUGAGUAAUGUCUGGGAAACUGCCUGAUGGAGGGGGAUAACUACUGGAAACGGUAGCUAAUACCGCAUAACGUCGCAAGACCAAAGAGGGGGACCUUCGGGCCUCUUGCCAUCAGAUGUGCCCAGAUGGGAUUAGCUAGUAGGUGGGGUAACGGCUCACCUAGGCGACGAUCCCUAGCUGGUCUGAGAGGAUGACCAGCCACACUGGAACUGAGACACGGUCCAGACUCCUACGGGAGGCAGCAGUGGGGAAUAUUGCACAAUGGGCGCAAGCCUGAUGCAGCCAUGCCGCGUGUAUGAAGAAGGCCUUCGGGUUGUAAAGUACUUUCAGCGGGGAGGAAGGGAGUAAAGUUAAUACCUUUGCUCAUUGACGUUACCCGCAGAAGAAGCACCGGCUAACUCCGAGCCAGCAGCCGCAGUAAUACGGAGGGUGCAAGCGUUAAUCGGAAUUACUGGGCGUAAAGCGCACGCAGGCGGUUUGUUAAGUCAGAUGUGAAAUCCCCGGGCUCAACCUGGGAACUGCAUCUGAUACUGGCAAGCUUGAGUCUCGUAGAGGGGGGUAGAAUUCCAGGUGUAGCGGUGAAAUGCGUAGAGAUCUGGAGGAAUACCGGUGGCGAAGGCGGCCCCCUGGACGAAGACUGACGCUCAGGUGCGAAAGCGUGGGGAGCAAACAGGAUUAGAUACCCUGGUAGUCCACGCCGUAAACGAUGUCGACUUGGAGGUUGUGCCCUUGAGGCGUGGCUUCCGGAGCUAACGCGUUAAGUCGACCGCCUGGGGAGUACGGCCGCAAGGUUAAAACUCAAAUGAAUUGACGGGGGCCCGCACAAGCGGUGGAGCAUGUGGUUUAAUUCGAUGCAACGCGAAGAACCUUACCUGGUCUUGACAUCCACGGAAGUUUUCAGAGAUGAGAAUGUGCCUUCGGGAACCGUGAGACAGGUGCUGCAUGGCUGUCGUCAGCUCGUGUUGUGAAAUGUUGGGUUAAGUCCCGCAACGAGCGCAACCCUUAUCCUUUGUUGCCAGCGGUCCGGCCGGGAACUCAAAGGAGACUGCCAGUGAUAAACUGGAGGAAGGUGGGGAUGACGUCAAGUCAUCAUGGCCCUUACGACCAGGGCUACACACGUGCUACAAUGGCGCAUACAAAGAGAAGCGACCUCGCGAGAGCAAGCGGACCUCAUAAAGUGCGUCGUAGUCCGGAUUGGAGUCUGCAACUCGACUCCAUGAAGUCGGAAUCGCUAGUAAUCGUGGAUCAGAAUGCCACGGUGAAUACGUUCCCGGGCCUUGUACACACCGCCCGUCACACCAUGGGAGUGGGUUGCAAAAGAAGUAGGUAGCUUAACCUUCGGGAGGGCGCUUACCACUUUGUGAUUCAUGACUGGGGUGAAGUCGUAACAAGGUAACCGUAGGGGAACCUGCGGCUG
RNAcentral lists this ribosomal RNA (1522 nucleotides) under metagenome. Its description in RNAcentral is "bacterial SSU rRNA". It matches the Rfam family "Bacterial small subunit ribosomal RNA". The record is from RNAcentral.